UUUUUUUAAAUAUUAUUAUUAAUUUUGGGGUUGAGUUUAAUAUUUUAAUUAUGAUUUGGUUAUAUUUUCAUUUUAAUUAAUUUUUUUUAAUAAUAGUUUAUUAGUACUGUGAGGGAAUAUUUAUACUGGAAAUUUAAGGAUAAUUGAUUUUUUGUACCUUUUGUAUCAGGGUUGAUUUAUUAUUUUUAUUUAUUUAUUAUUCCCGAAUUUUAUGGAGUUAAUUAUAUGUUUGUUUUAAAGUUGAAUAUUUAUUCUUGACAUAUUAUUGGUAAUGAAACGUUAUUCGUCUUAGAUAUAUCUGGUUUUUGCUUUUGAAAUUUAAUUUCUUUUUAUUUGAUUGGUUUUUAAUUUGAAAAUUUUUCUAUGGAUAAAAUAUAAUUAUGGUGGGAUAAGCUUCUAUAGUGGUUUAUAAGAAUUUAGUUUAUAUAGAUUUUUGGGAUUUAGGAUUUCUUUAUAUAGUAUGUUAAAAUUAAUUUAUGGGUUUUUAGAUUUUUUUUUCUUUAUUUUUUUUGUAAAAUUUAUCUUAAAUUAUAUAUUUUAAUAUAUAAUGAUUGAAUUAGUAAUUAGUUUUUAAGGUUAUUUUUUAUAGUUAUUUUAGUCUAAGGAACUCGGCAAUUAUGUUUUCGCCUGUUUAUUAAAAACAUGGCUUUUUGAUAAUAAUUUAAGGUCGGACCUGCCCAAUGAUUUUUUUAAUGGCCGCGGUAUUUUGACCGUGCAAAGGUAGCAUAAUAAUUUGUCUCUUAAUUUGGGACUGGAAUGAAAGGUUUGACGAGAAAUGUUCUGUCUCAGGCUUAUAGUAUGAAUUUUAUUUUUGAGUGAAAAAGCUUAAAUUUUUUUAAUAGACGAGAAGACCCUAUAGAGUUUUACUUUUUUUUUAUUUAUAUAGGUUUAAAAGUUUUGUUGGGGUGAUUGGAAAAUUUAUUAAACUUUUCUUAAAUUUAUAUACUUAUUGGUAGUUUAUUGAUCCAUUUUUAAUGAUUAAAAGAUUAAAUUACCUUAGGGAUAACAGCGUAAUUUUUCAUGAUAGUUCAAAUUGAUUGAAGAGAUUACGACCUCGAUGUUGGAUUAAAAUUUAUUUGAAGUGUAGGGGCUUCUGGAUUGGGUCUGUUCGACCUUUAAAAUUUUACAUGAUCUGAGUUUAGACCGGCGUGAGCCAGGUUGGUUUCUAUCUUUAAUUAUUUUAUAUUUAUUAGUACGAGAGGACCAUAAGUAAUUAAUAUUUAAUUUUUCUGGGUUUUGUUAA
RNAcentral lists this ribosomal RNA (1243 nucleotides) under Bostrichoidea sp. 1 KM-2017. Its description in RNAcentral is "16S ribosomal RNA". The stretch from base 836 to 1175 matches the Rfam family "Archaeal large subunit ribosomal RNA", at positions 2150 to 2716 of the family's 2987-position model. Lineage: Eukaryota; Metazoa; Arthropoda; Insecta; Coleoptera. The record is from RNAcentral.